UAGGCCGACAGGAGGACAAGAUUGUCCAGAGAACCCAAGAUCCAGGAAAGGGGGAGGGGAGUGAGCGGAGAGGACUAAGACUUGAAAACUGAAGCUCCAGGAUUAGCUCUCCCGGGCCAGUUCUGCUUAAAGGCAUUUAUAAAAGAUGCCCCGAACUAGGGCGCUGAAAAUGGGCUCCUGCACCCGCGAUCUGGCUGGCUGUUCUUAAUAGCUUUUCCACCUUCCUAAGAACCUAGUGCCGAGGCCAAGAAACUCCCUAUAUACAGGAAUGCUGAAUACUGAUCCCUGUGCCCACGGCUGCUGCACUGACCCUGGCAGAAGAGGCUAAGCAGUUGUUUGGAAGGCCCUGUAGAAUAAAACAUGGCUGAGGGGGAAUGGCCUCCUCUCUGAUAGUCCUGAAGCAAUGCAGUGUUCAAAAAAAUGCCCUAGUUCCGUCAUGCUCUUUUGAAGGAUUAAACUUUAAAGAGUUUAGCUAGCUUAGACACACUCUCAAUUAUGCUGAAGUAUACAGGAAAUAAUAAGAAAUGCCAAGACUAGGAUUCGGCCAUAUAAGGGCAGGCCAGCAUGCUUCCCAAACCCAGCAAAGGCAUAAGAACAAGGAGUGAAGCGAAUCAGAAACUUACAGCUGGUCAAAUAGUUCCUUCUAAACUGGGGGAGAGAACUUAAGGAAUCAGAAAGUCCUGAACACAUUUUGUCAACUUCUGCUCCAGAAGUUGCUGGUCUCUGACAGCACUGCACAGCCAAUGUGGACAGGGAGCUAGCUGGGCUUACACAUUGCUGCCCCGUGGCUUUCCUCAGUGAAAGCUCACUUUCUCUGUUUUUCUCUUCAUCUGGCUCUCACAGCCUGACCUCCUCGUGUGUGCUGAUUCUGAGCUGGCAGCAUUGUUGCUCUCUAAGUCUCUAACCUCUUUUCUCUGAGCUCCAGCUCCUGUCACUAUUAAGCAGGGGAAUGUUGGCCCUGUGUUCCCACAGGUAGUAAGGUUGAACUGAUUCCUGAGACAGUUUGCUUCUCCUUGACCCUGCUCCUAUCUUCGGGUACUCGUGAAUAGAAGACUAGUCUAGCUAUUCUCACCUUUCAGAGACCAAGACUCACUGUUUAUCAUUUUCUUUUACAUUACUUGGUGCCUGGACUUUGGAGUUAGGGUUGUCACUCUGUCCUGAAAUGAAGAGACUUUAUUUGGGCUCAUAUGUCCUCUAAAACUCUUAGCUAUGAGAGAGAAUGAACGGUGGGAAGAGGAUGGGAUAUAAGUUCAGACAGAUGUAGACUUGAAUCCUUGAAUUUUCCCUGUCACUUAUUUAACAUGAUGAUGUAGGGAUGUUAAAUCUCGGGUGCUUUACUUCAGUGUUCCUAUGAGAUCUUUCCUGCUGUCACUAAUAUGGUACUUCACUGGUUGCUGAGGUGACUCAAGAAGGGAUAAAGGGAAAUCACUUAUGCUAUGUGGGAAGAUUGUUGUAUUAGUCAGGGUUCUCUAGAGUUACAGAACUUGUAGAAUGUCUCUAUAUAUUAAGGGAAUUUAUUGUGAUGUCCUACAGUCUGUAGUCUAACUAAUGUACAGCUGUGGAUGGGACGUCCAAGAAUCUACUAGUUACUCAGUCACACGAGGCUAGGUAUUUGAGUUGCUCUUUUUUAAAAAAAUUUUAUUUAUUUUAUGUAUAUUGUACAUUGUAGCUGUCUUCAGAUGGUUGUGAGCCACCAUGUGGUUGCUGGGAAUUGAGCUCAGGACCUGCGGAAGAGUAGCCAGUGCUCUUAACCAUUGAGCCAUCUCUCCAGCCCUGAGUUGGUCUGCUGUAGAAGUAGAUUCCAACAGAUGUGCUGGCAGGUAAGUGCAAUCAGUCCAAGAAGUGUGAAUCUUCCUUCUUCCAGUGUUCUUAGGUAGGCCUCCAGCAGAAGGUGGGGCCCAGAUUAAGGUGUGUACCAACAUGCCUGGACCUGGGACUUGCUUUGUCCCCAGCUGACCUUGAACUCAGAUGUCUCCUUGCCUCAGUCUCCUGGGAGUAAAGGAGUGUACUACUUUAUCUGGGCCUAAACUUUUCUUCGUGGCAACUAUACCUCAAGGUCUUCAUGUCAGGAUCCAGAUCUGAAACGUGUGUCUUCCAGCCUCGAGAUCUGCAUCACAAGUGCAUCUUCCAAUUCUGGGUUGUGAUUCAUUCCAGAUAUAGUUAAAUUGAGAACCAGGAAUGGCCACCACAGUGCUAGAUAUGGGUAAUUUUCCUUUCCUAAGAGGGCCUGGCUGUUAUGCAUGUGAAAUGAAUUUAUAAUAACAAGAAGAAAAUAGGUUCAGACUAAAGUUAUUUUUAAAUAAGAGCUGUAUUUGGUGCAGAAGAAUAAACACAGGCUUCGGAGCUUGAGGUCACUUCAAUCAGAAAGUGCUUCUGAAAUCCAGCUAGGAGUAAGCAGAGGAACAAGAAACUUCCCUGUGUAGUUCUGAAUAUUAAAACUAAAUUGUUUUGCAGGAAGAGUGCACUAGUCUUAACUAUGCAGGUGCCACUGUCUUGAAGACAUUUGCCUGGUGGCAUAGUCCCUGUUCCCCCUUGGGCAACUCUGACUCCUGCCAAUCCUAUGCUGGUUCUUUAAAUAUUGCUCAGACCUUCUUGCCUCUGCUUUGUACCUGUUUUUGUGUCAGACCUUUAAACAUUUUGGACUUGAGUUUGAGUGCAUUUCUUAACUUAGGUGACUGUGUUUGUCAUCUCUGUGUUUUAAACCCACCCUGACUUGGCCACUAUGGUUCUUAGUUGUUCUGUCAACCGUUUGAUUAACAUAUCCGUUUCUACAUUUUGGUUUCCACUUACUUGUUUUCUCAUCCUCCCCACACUGGCACUUAUUCAACAUAGUGCUACCCAAGGCAUUUGUACUAAUAAACACCUUCAUUUUCCCAUCAUCCUCUGCUCCAUUUGUGUUCAUAGACAUCAGGUUUACAGAGACAGGCCGAUUUCCGAGGAGAUUCCCACCACAUCAAAGUAACAGACUAAGUGUGGCCCAUGUGCUGCAAGGAUUGUAAUGGGUGCAUAAAGGAGAGCAGCCUUCACUGUUGGGGAGCAGAGGUGACCUAGUGGGAUAUGUGACCAUAGUUGUUAUAGAAAGUGAUUCUUUUGUUUGUAGAAGGAGAUACAGCAAAGGCAAAAGGACAUUGGAAAUAGGAUACAUAACCAGAGGAGCCUGAGUAUUGUCUCAUCAGGGAAGUACACCAGGCAGGUUUAGCUAGAGGAGGAGCUGUGAAAUAACAGAGAAUGUUUGGGAAUGGUGGUCAGGCAACCAUAUCAAGGAAGGCCUUGUGGCCAUGCAUUCUACUGAGUUCAGAUUCUCUUCUUUGGAGACAGGCCUCUGGAAGACUGUGAACAAGACCACGAUGUGACUAGAGUGGAAGUGAAGAAAAAGCCACUCUCCUUGGAAUAUGGAGAAUAGAUUGAAGAACAGCUGUCUUCAAGACAAGAGGACAACGAUGCUGGCAAAAUGUGGGAAAUGUGGAAGCCCCUCAUAUAUUGUCAAUAUAGCUGCUGCAGAUAUCAGCAUGGACACUUUUGUAAGACUAAAAGUGAAACCACUAUAUGGCCCAACUGUACUCCAGGCAACACCAGCAGGACUGAAAGGCAAUAUACCACAGAGAAAUUUACAUAACCAUGCUUUCUGCUGCGCUAGUCACAAUUGCUAAAAAAUAGAGCUCUCCUAGAUGUCCAUCAAGAAAUCAAUGGACGGGAGCUGGAGAGAUGGCUCUGUUUAAGAGCACUGGAUGCUCUUCCAGAGAGCCUAGGUUAAAAUCUGGAAUUGAAGUUCCAGGGCAUCUGGACUCCACAUGCUCAAGGCAUACAUGUGUUCCUUGAACAUACGUGCAGGCAAAACAUAUAUACAUAUGAAAUAAACAAAGAGUAAAUAAAAAAGAAUGAAUGUAUAGCAAAUUUUAAAAAGCGUACAUAUACACACCAGAACUUUAUUCAGUUAUGGAGGAAAAUGAAAUGGUGUCAUUUGCAGGAAAAUAGAUGGCACUGAAGAUCAUAUUAAGCAAGAUAAGCCAGACUUAGAAAGACAAAUGCUACAUGUUUUCUCUUGCGUUCAGAAUCCAGAUUUAAAUGUGUGUGUUGGGGACUAGAGGGACCAUGGCAGGGGAGGAAGUGAAGAAAGGGCAAAAGGAGAAACCCUUGGUCCUGCCAAGGCUCAACCCUCAGUGUGGGGAAAUGUCAGGGUGGGGAGGCAGGAAGGGGUGGGUGGAUGGGUGGGGGAACACCCUCAUAGAAGAAGAGGGAGGGAGGAUGGGAUGGCGGUUUAUGGAUAGGAAACCAGGAAAGGGGAUAACAUUUGAAAUGUAAAUAAAAAAAUCCAAUUAAAAAAAAGAGAGAGAGGAUAAUGGAAUACAUGUGAUAUGAAAACAGAAAGGCGGACAGUUAUGUGGAGAAGCAAUGAGCCAGACAGGGCCAGGGAUUGGGAAGGGCACUAGCAAAAGAUGCCAGAAAACAAAAUCCGAGCACAAUGACAUCUGCAUGAAAACAGCUACCGUGGAAGCUGUCACUGCAUAUAUUCUCCACCAACCGAAAAUCAUUUCUCCCUGUAGUAUUUACUCUGCCUGUAGGAGGCACCUCCACGAUGCUCCAUAGACUGGGCCAGAAUGCUGGCAUCUUGCUUCUGCAGUGACUACCUUCAUAACUGUAUUUCUACUCACAGGAGACAAAUAUCUGCUAUUUACUUUGGAUUUUCAUCUCCUGGGCUGUUUUUUUCCUCCAUGUGGGCACUUUGAUUUUGGAUUCGGAAGCCAGUGACUGCGAUGAUGGACUAACAAGCCUUCCCUGGAGCUCAGAUACACUUCUCAUUUGUGUCCCAGAGCUAGCCAUCAUUUGCCUGAUUCCUUCUGGUUUCAUACAUUAUUGGUAAAAUAAGAUACUGAAGAAAAUAGUGUAUUUUUUCUGAAAGGCAUGUUCAUACUAGUUCAAAUAUUCCAACAUUUAGGCAGUCUCAGAGAUCCCAAGUCAGCUAGCUGUGCAGGUAGAAAUCAGUAGUUUUAUAUAUUAAAAAAGCUAAGUAGACUAUCACAGCCUUACUACACACACACCAGGAUCAUGUUAAUUUAUGAAUUAUUAAUAAUAUCCAUAAUAACUGUACAAAAUGUCUCAAGUGUAGUUUGCAGAAUGCUUGUAUCCAUGUCCCUUUAAUGGGAUUUGUGGGUCUUUUUUUUUCAAAGGUUUAAUGCUUGGGAUUCAUGGUGUUCAAGUACAUAGGGAAAGAGGAAGAAAAUAGGAUAGAUUGCAGCAUCUGUUUUAAGAAUAUUAGCAUCAGGCAAAAGAGAUUUUAAAUUUUUUCUAUUUAAAAAAAUCACAUGUACUUUUGCAUGAGUUUAUAGGUAUCCAUUGCAUGUAUGUAACUGGAGGUCAGAAGAUGAUAUAGGAUCCCCUGGGACUGGAGUUACAUGUAGUUGUGAGAUGUCUGAUAUGUGCGCUAGAAAAUAAAUCUGGGUCCUCUGCAAAAGCAGUAAGCACUCUGAAACACUGAGAAGACAUCUCUCCAGACCAGCGAGACUUUCUGAGGCUGAGCUACUAGAUGUGAGGUUGGAAUGAUACCAAGGAAUAUCAGACUGACAGAGCCAUCUUUCGAACGUUUGUUUAGACUUAAGUGUGAUCGCUUGCUGCCAUGCACACUGACUGCAUGUGUGAGGUGAGUUUUGAGGUUAUGAAGCUAUAUGUUUCCAGUUUACCCUGGAUGGUAUAGCAUCGAGUGAUAGGUCUGCUGUAGAGAAUUCACUUGCAGCAUGGAGCUAUGUCCCAUGAGAUCUCUUCACACCCUUCAGAGCUGGAUGAGCAGAGACUGUAUCAGCUCAAAUGGAGGUUAUCUGGAGUCAUUCUUCUUAAGAAGAUGCUUUUAACUUGCAUAUUCUUAUAGUGUGAUGCUUUCUGAGAGUUAAAAAAUCUGAUAUAGUGUUAGCGAAGGAUCUAACAAGUGUUUGCUCAGAUUCUUAAAUGGUCCUCUCAGACUGGUUUAGCCAAAAUUAAUGCAAUGAAUUUUGUUCACUGUGUCUAUAGGGGGUAUUGAUGGGAGAAGGGAGAAAGAAAAGGGUGUUUUUACCUUAACAAAAAGCAAUGUUUUACUAACUCUACUGGCCCUGGGAGAUAAUCAGACCACUGGCCUUAAUACCUAACAGAGGAAACCGGUGAACAAUGGAGUAACAUAUGCAUUUGGCUCUUUGUUUCCAAGGGUUUCAUACUGCAGGAUUCAACCAACCAAGGGUGAAACAGUUGGGAAAGCAUUGCAUUUAGACUGAUGUAUACAGAUUUUUGUUCUCAUCAAUAUUUCCUAAACAAGGCAGAGUGAUGGUCAUUUGCCUAGGGCUUAUGUAGUGCUAGGUAGUAGAGAUGAUCCAGAGAUGCUUUCCACUGUCUUUGGAAUGUGUGCAUAGGUUAUACCCAAAACCAACACCAUUUUAUAUAAGCUCCUUGAGCAUCUGCAGAUAUUGGUUACCAUGAGGGGUCCUGGAACCCAUUCCUCAGACACUGAGUGGGACAGCAAUAUAUUUUGUGGCAGAGGUGUGUACAAAGCACCAUGGGAGUAUAGAGGUUGUAUGGACAUAGUUCCCUCUAAAUAGUAAGAGUUUGCAAAGCAAGCUCCGAUUGACAGUGUUUCCCUGUGUAAUAUUACUAGGAUGGGAAGUAAGUUAACUCCCAUGCUCCCUGGGUCUGGAGAGGCCUGUGGCUCUUGAAAUAAGUCCUGUGAAAGGCGCACAUAUGUCCUGAUCUGUUUCCCACUACUGAGUGAGUUAUAAAGGAAAGAGGUUUAAUUUGGCUUUCAAACCCAGAGACAGAAGUGUUAAUGGAUAAACAGGGAAGUGUACAGUCAAAGUACAUGAGAUUUGAUGAAACUAUCAUGAAACCCAUUGCUUUGUGCAAUCAACACACAGUCAUAAAAACUUAAAAUAGUGACUGUGGUUAAAGCUUAAAAAAUAUAAAACAACAACAAAAAAAAACAAACAAAAAAACAAAACAAAAAACAACAACAAAAAAACAAAUCCAGACAAAUGAACAAGCAGCAACAGAGUCCUCUCUCUGGUUCACAUUCCUGUUUCACUUUUAAUCUCCAUGGCAUUUGGGGUGCUACUGAUCACAGAGGCCGGGGUUCACUUCUUUUACUGCUCACUGCAUACCAAGACGCUUUGUCAGAGUUUGUUUUGUAUUAGAAACAAACUGGUCCUUAGAUCAUGCAACUAAAGAUUAGUCAAUAAAGGGCCUCAGUGGUUACCCUUGAAUCUCCCAGGGAAGCUCCAAGUCAAACCGUCUUCAAGUCUGAAGACAGGCUUAAAUCCCCACUCAAGUGAGUCCUGGGACAUUAGUGACUUGGGGGUUAGAAGUGCUUGGAGUUGGGAAGCAUGACUCUCCACUGACAUCUAGCCUUGAGGAUGGUGUUUCUGGUUUCCUAAAACAGAGGGUUGUAAAGAUUGUAUCUUAAUGACAAAUUAGAGGAGGCACUAAAGGGAGCAGAAAGUCUAGUCUGAGGAAAUACAUAACACUCUCAUUCUCAGCCUGAAUUGGAAAAUAGAAUUCAACAGCACAGUUGUAAUUGUGUUUCAGAGAUGUGUUGAAAGAUUGGCCUGCCCUAUGUAUCUUAAGGCUUCCCAUUUGUCUCUACUGAAGAAAUAGAGAUCGUUUUGCCUGCCAUUUACACAAAGACAUAGUGUAAGUUAGUAUUUGCAGGCCAGGAGUGGUAGCACACACCUUUGAAUCCAGUACUCAGGAGGCAAAUCUCUGUGAGGUCAGCCUGAUCUACACAGUGAGAUGCUAUCUCAAAAACCAACCAAACAACAAUUGAAAUGUAAAUAAGAAAUACCCAAUUUAAUAAAGAUUGAGAAAAAAAUUUGUAUUCUGGGACUGGAGAGAUGACUCAUUGGUUAAGAGCACUGAUUGCUCUUGCCAAGGUCCUGAGUUCAAUUCCCAGAAACCACAUGGUGGCUCACAACUGUCUGUAAUGGGAUCUGAUGACCUUCUGAUGUGUCUGAAAACAGUGACUCUCAUACAUACAAUAAAUAAAUAAAAUCUUAAAAAAAAUUGCAUUCUAGGGUCGGAGGGGGACCAUCCUCAUCGAAGCAGGAGGAGGGGAGAUGGGAGAGGAAGGGAACCUGGAAAGGGGAUAACAUUUGAAAUGUAAAUACAUAAAAUAUUCAAUAAAAAUGAUAAAUAAAAAAGAAUUUGCAUUCUGCACAGUGCAAUGCAUUUAAAUUGUAUUUAGCAUUACAGUAAAUCUGAAGAUGAUGGUGAAGUAUUAAAAGGAUGACUGUAGGUUAUAUGUAACUAAUGUUGUACUGUUUUAUAUAAAGGAUUUAAGUAUUUGAGGAAUUUGAUAUCUAGAGUUUUCUCGAAUUCAUCUCCUGAGGGAACUGUCACAUCUGUUCUAAACUGGUUUCUGUUCUUAUUUCCACCUUUUCUUAUUUUCUUAUCUGUCUUUAAUUUUAUGUUAUCAAAUGUAUAUAUAACUUUGUAUGCAUGUUUAUGAGUCAUAUUCUUUCCUGUAGAAGGGCAUACAUAUGGAGGUGUUUAUAGUAACUUACACUGAUAGAAGAGGGAAGUCUCCAGAAGUUUAUAUUGUGGAAACAUAAAGUCAAAUGCUGUUUUUAUAUACACACUUCUUUUUCCUUCUAGUUGGGGUAGCUGGAAACCUGCCUUUUGUCCACCCCAUCAUUACUUAAUAAGUUGGGUCCUCUUUCUGUCCCCUCUUCUAGCGGGUGUAAUAUGAAACACAGACUACUACAGAGAUGCUAUUUGUUUUGUAAAUGGAAACAAUCUUGCUUUCUGUUCCUACCAUUCUAACCCUACCUUGCCCUUUUACCGGUACAAAAUUGCUGCCUUUAUUCCUUAUCGCCAGGGCCUAAUGUCUAUACCUGGAGGGCUUUCUUUGCCAAACCCUCGGGGACUUCACCUUAGUACCAAAGACCUCUUUUCCACCCUAAUUCCUACUCUUCCACUCUGUUUUUCCAAAACACAGUAGAUUCUCCCACUACUCCUGAGACUGGGUCCAGGAUAACCGGCAGUCACUGUGCCCUGAGGUCUUGUUGCUCCUUGCUUUUUCCUGUCCUAUGAGAGUAGAGGUGAUGUGGAAAGAGACUGUCAGCCACAGACAUCUGUGUCAGUGGUGAUGACUGUGACUGCCUUGCUGAGGCACAGAGGCAGGAGAGAAAAGUAGAGCCAAGAAUGAAGACCAGCAAGGAUGAGCUCCAGUCUCUUCUGUGAAACAAAUACUCUUGCUUUCAUGGCUCUCCCAAAGAGAAUUCUCAAGAUACUGAUAGAAGCAAGCUAUCAAAAAGGAAAAACAAAUUCAGCAACCACAGCAUUAAGACAGCUCUUAAUUUGGGUUGUCUAGAGAUGAUCAAACAGUCCAAAGGGGGUAUGAUGUAAAAAUCACAUUCCUAGGCCUAAAAAGUGACCACUUCCCUGUCACUCCAGCUACUACAGGUUAAGGAACACAUAUUUCAGACUGUGGGCAUUUGCUGGUCUCAUUACUAUGCAUAACUUGUUGCUAGGAUGCUUUUUUUGCUCUAGGAUAUACACUAGAUCAUUAUCGUGGGUCCUUGUCUUAAGUGAACUUGGACAUUUAAAUGGAAAUGUUGAAAUAUUCUAAAUCAGCCCUUGAUAAGCCCAAAGCAGGUAAACACAUUAAAGCCCCAGAACAUCUGAGGAAAGUAUGAUCAGUGUGGGCUGGGAUGGCAAGGAAAGGCUUUAUUAGAGGUUCUUGGGCCAUGCUGAGUGGAAAGUGUGGGUGCAUGUGGGGGUUGUGUUUCCAUGCCAUGCAUUUCCAGGAGCACUCCAGCCAUUCCUCAAUAUGGGGUCCCACCCUCGGUCACUUAGCCCUGACUUGUGAGGGCAGCAAUUGGAAGAGGAGGGUGUAGCAGUAGCUGGGGAUUGUGGCUGACACUAAGCCUCUACGUUAACUCAGGUAUGUAUGGGGGCAGUGGCAAGCAUUUACCUGGAAGAGUUUUCACCCUUCAGGCUUAAGUCAACCUCUCCUCUAUCAGGAUAUGUUGACCCACUGUGUCUCGUUGAUGGAUUCACCAAACACAGACAGAUUAUGUUUUCAAUCAGAACCAUGUUCCGCAUAGCACAUUCUGACAGAAACCUGGGGUUUUGCUUGGUGGAAGCUAUAGCACCACCUUGUGGAAAUACAUUUUUCAGCCCACAAGCUGUUUCCUGCCCCACCCCCACACCGGCACCCCUUUACAGGGUUACAAGUGUCUUCCAGAAUGUUUUAGAAAAUAUUCUGUGCUGUUAGGUUAUGUUUGCAUCAAAGACCCGAAGAGUAUUUUGAGUUUGCAGCUUUUCGCUUGGAUAUGUGGGUUGAUCUGUGUUACUGCAUGAAGAGUUCCUUUGCUUGUUUUGUUUGGAAGUACUUCUCUAGUCUCCUCUUGCUGUAGUUUCCAAUAGUUUGAUAUACAAGCAGUGCUUUUAUAAGUGUCCUGUCCAUGUUAGUCUACCCUGUGGUGUAUGUUUCUGAAGAUGGGAUUUCUAGGUCAAAUGGUGUAUACAUUUAGAAUUGUGGUAGACAUGAGUGGACUAUUUUCUGUGCAGUUUUAGGCCAAGUUUCAGCAAUGUGUGAUGCUCCAUAAAUCAUCAAUAACUGUGUUUUUGUGUGUUGGGGUGUGUGUGUGUGUGUGUGUGUGCACAUGUAUGUUCAGAUGCAUAAAUGUAUGGGUUCAUAUGCAUGUGGCCCGAAGUUGACACCAGGUGUCUGCAAUUACUGUUCAAUUUAUUUUGUAAGACAGGAUCUCAGUGAACAUGGAGCUCAAUUCAGGUAGACAUUAAGCACGAAGAGCCCGCCUAUCUCUGAGUCCCCAGUCCUUGGGGUUACUGUGUGUGUUGCUGUGGUUACUUGUGUGUGUUGCUGUGGUUACUUGUGUGUGUUGCUGUGGUUACUUGUGUGUGUUGCUGUGGUUACUUGUGUGUGUUGCUGUGGUUACUUGUGUGUGUUGCUCUGCUCCACUUUCCUAUGGAACUCUUAGGGGCUCGAAUUGAGGUUUUCCUGCCUGCUGAUGAGCCAUCUCCCCAUCCCACUAACUUUAUUUUUAAAAAUCUUCAUUUCUUUGCUAAUGUGAUAGAUGAAUUAUAUAGCAGUUUUCUGUUAUAGAUUUUAUGGUAUUCUUCUCAUAGGUGUGUUUGUAUAAACUCAAAAUUGUUCAUGAGGUCUGGCAAUCCAAAUUGAUUCUUUUUCUCUAAAGCUACUUAUAAGAUUGAUGGCUGAUGAUUUAUAAAUUUACCUUUUAAAAAUAGUUUUUAUAAUGGGCUGAAUUUCAAAUAGGUUUAGAAAGCACUCACUGAUGUUUCUCUGUUUAUUUCCAGUCUUGGAUUUACAUGAGUAAGAGACAUGUAAACUUGAGAGUCUCUUAUAUUUCCUGAACUAAGUUUCAUUAGUAAAUUCCCAUUCUUUCUUUUCCCUCCAUCUUUAUUAAAUUGGGUAUUUCCUAUUUACAUUUCAAUUGUUAUUCCCUUUCCCAAUUUCCAGGUCAACAUCCCCCAACCCCUCCGCGCCUUCUAUAUGGGUGCUCCCCUCUCUAUCCUCCCCCCAUUACCACCCUCCCCCCAACAAUCACGUUCACUGAGGGUUCGGUCUUGGCAGGACCAAGGGCUUCCUCUUCCACUGGUGUCCUUACUAGAUUAUUCAUUGCUACCUAUGAGGUUGGAGCCCAGGGUCAGUCCAUGUAUAGUCUUUGGGUAGUGGCUUAGUCCCUGGAAGCUCUGGUUGGUUGGCAGUAAAUUCCCAUUCUUAAUGAUAUUGUCACAGAGGCUGGGGACCCAGCGUUUCGGCAGCUCAGUAGUUCAACACAUGCCUAGAGCAUGCAUAAAGUCUUGCAUUUCAUUCCCAGCAUUGACAUAAAGAGUUGACACUGAUAGUUUAAGUGUCAUGCCUGUCAGUUUUUUCAGUUUCUAGCUUCUCACAUCUUUGCUAAAGAAUGGUUUUAUCAAGGUGAACAUAUCCAGAUGUCAAAUAACAUCCUUCUGUUCUUGGUUCUUUCAGUGUAUCAUGGUUUGCUGUACACAGUAAAAAGGUGUAAUCUUGUUUUGAUUAUUACAGACAUUUGCAUGGCUAACCACUGUCUGAUGACACAGUUCUUUCUUCUACCAUCUCCUUAUUGGUAGAACCAAGCGUAUUUUUGUUUCACUACCAUGUUCUGUCAAG
Long non-coding RNA from Rattus norvegicus (Norway rat), 12133 nucleotides. RefSeq lists it as uncharacterized. Lineage: Eukaryota; Metazoa; Chordata; Mammalia; Rodentia; Muridae. The record is from RefSeq and is a predicted model, not a curated record.